RNAcentral lists this ribosomal RNA (2894 nucleotides) under Escherichia coli. RNAcentral describes it as "bacterial LSU rRNA". It matches the Rfam family "Bacterial large subunit ribosomal RNA". Lineage: Bacteria; Pseudomonadati; Pseudomonadota; Gammaproteobacteria; Enterobacterales; Enterobacteriaceae. The record is from RNAcentral.
UUAAGCGACUAAGCGUACACGGUGGAUGCCCUGGCAGUCAGAGGCGAUGAAGGACGUGCUAAUCUGCGAUAAGCGUCGGUAAGGUGAUAUGAACCGUUAUAACCGGCGAUUUCCGAAUGGGGAAACCCAGUGUGAUUCGUCACACUAUCAUUAACUGAAUCCAUAGGUUAAUGAGGCGAACCGGGGGAACUGAAACAUCUAAGUACCCCGAGGAAAAGAAAUCAACCGAGAUUCCCCCAGUAGCGGCGAGCGAACGGGGAGCAGCCCAGAGCCUGAAUCAGUGUGUGUGUUAGUGGAAGCGUCUGGAAAGGCGCGCGAUACAGGGUGACAGCCCCGUACACAAAAAUGCACAUACUGUGAGCUCGAUGAGUAGGGCGGGACACGUGGUAUCCUGUCUGAAUAUGGGGGGACCAUCCUCCAAGGCUAAAUACUCCUGACUGACCGAUAGUGAACCAGUACCGUGAGGGAAAGGCGAAAAGAACCCCGGCGAGGGGAGUGAAAAAGAACCUGAAACCGUGUACGUACAAGCAGUGGGAGCACGCUUAGGCGUGUGACUGCGUACCUUUUGUAUAAUGGGUCAGCGACUUAUAUUCUGUAGCAAGGUUAACCGAAUAGGGGAGCCGAAGGGAAACCGAGUCUUAACUGGGCGUUAAGUUGCAGGGUAUAGACCCGAAACCCGGUGAUCUAGCCAUGGGCAGGUUGAAGGUUGGGUAACACUAACUGGAGGACCGAACCGACUAAUGUUGAAAAAUUAGCGGAUGACUUGUGGCUGGGGGUGAAAGGCCAAUCAAACCGGGAGAUAGCUGGUUCUCCCCGAAAGCUAUUUAGGUAGCGCCUCGUGAAUUCAUCUCCGGGGGUAGAGCACUGUUUCGGCAAGGGGGUCAUCCCGACUUACCAACCCGAUGCAAACUGCGAAUACCGGAGAAUGUUAUCACGGGAGACACACGGCGGGUGCUAACGUCCGUCGUGAAGAGGGAAACAACCCAGACCGCCAGCUAAGGUCCCAAAGUCAUGGUUAAGUGGGAAACGAUGUGGGAAGGCCCAGACAGCCAGGAUGUUGGCUUAGAAGCAGCCAUCAUUUAAAGAAAGCGUAAUAGCUCACUGGUCGAGUCGGCCUGCGCGGAAGAUGUAACGGGGCUAAACCAUGCACCGAAGCUGCGGCAGCGACGCUGAUGCGUUGUUGGGUAGGGGAGCGUUCUGUAAGCCUGUGAAGGUGUGCUGUGAGGCAUGCUGGAGGUAUCAGAAGUGCGAAUGCUGACAUAAGUAACGAUAAAGCGGGUGAAAAGCCCGCUCGCCGGAAGACCAAGGGUUCCUGUCCAACGUUAAUCGGGGCAGGGUGAGUCGACCCCUAAGGCGAGGCCGAAAGGCGUAGUCGAUGGGAAACAGGUUAAUAUUCCUGUACUUGGUGUUACUGCGAAGGGGGGACGGAGAAGGCUAUGUUGGCCGGGCGACGGUUGUCCCGGUUUAAGCGUGUAGGCUGGUUUUCCAGGCAAAUCCGGAAAAUCAAGGCUGAGGCGUGAUGACGAGGCACUACGGUGCUGAAGCAACAAAUGCCCUGCUUCCAGGAAAAGCCUCUAAGCAUCAGGUAACAUCAAAUCGUACCCCAAACCGACACAGGUGGUCAGGUAGAGAAUACCAAGGCGCUUGAGAGAACUCGGGUGAAGGAACUAGGCAAAAUGGUGCCGUAACUUCGGGAGAAGGCACGCUGAUAUGUAGGUGAAGUCCCUCGCGGAUGGAGCUGAAAUCAGUCGAAGAUACCAGCUGGCUGCAACUGUUUAUUAAAAACACAGCACUGUGCAAACACGAAAGUGGACGUAUACGGUGUGACGCCUGCCCGGUGCCGGAAGGUUAAUUGAUGGGGUUAGCGCAAGCGAAGCUCUUGAUCGAAGCCCCGGUAAACGGCGGCCGUAACUAUAACGGUCCUAAGGUAGCGAAAUUCCUUGUCGGGUAAGUUCCGACCUGCACGAAUGGCGUAAUGAUGGCCAGGCUGUCUCCACCCGAGACUCAGUGAAAUUGAACUCGCUGUGAAGAUGCAGUGUACCCGCGGCAAGACGGAAAGACCCCGUGAACCUUUACUAUAGCUUGACACUGAACAUUGAGCCUUGAUGUGUAGGAUAGGUGGGAGGCUUUGAAGUGUGGACGCCAGUCUGCAUGGAGCCGACCUUGAAAUACCACCCUUUAAUGUUUGAUGUUCUAACGUUGACCCGUAAUCCGGGUUGCGGACAGUGUCUGGUGGGUAGUUUGACUGGGGCGGUCUCCUCCUAAAGAGUAACGGAGGAGCACGAAGGUUGGCUAAUCCUGGUCGGACAUCAGGAGGUUAGUGCAAUGGCAUAAGCCAGCUUGACUGCGAGCGUGACGGCGCGAGCAGGUGCGAAAGCAGGUCAUAGUGAUCCGGUGGUUCUGAAUGGAAGGGCCAUCGCUCAACGGAUAAAAGGUACUCCGGGGAUAACAGGCUGAUACCGCCCAAGAGUUCAUAUCGACGGCGGUGUUUGGCACCUCGAUGUCGGCUCAUCACAUCCUGGGGCUGAAGUAGGUCCCAAGGGUAUGGCUGUUCGCCAUUUAAAGUGGUACGCGAGCUGGGUUUAGAACGUCGUGAGACAGUUCGGUCCCUAUCUGCCGUGGGCGCUGGAGAACUGAGGGGGGCUGCUCCUAGUACGAGAGGACCGGAGUGGACGCAUCACUGGUGUUCGGGUUGUCAUGCCAAUGGCACUGCCCGGUAGCUAAAUGCGGAAGAGAUAAGUGCUGAAAGCAUCUAAGCACGAAACUUGCCCCGAGAUGAGUUCUCCCUGACNGUCCUGAAGGAACGUUGAAGACGACGACGUUGAUAGGCCGGGUGUGUAAGCGCAGCGAUGCGUUGAGCUAACCGGUACUAAUGAACCGUGAGGCUUAACCUU